Styela clava is the source of this 321-nucleotide non-coding RNA. Lineage: Eukaryota; Metazoa; Chordata; Ascidiacea; Stolidobranchia; Styelidae. The record is from RefSeq and is a predicted model, not a curated record.
GAUAAAAUCAUCCAUUUAUAGACAUAUUAAUUUAAUCAGAACGAGAUUUUAUAUACAUUGACAUCGUUUGGCAUUUAUGAUUGCUAAAGUCCGUGCCAAUUAACAUACAAUUUUUUCAUUGCGACAUUCAAACCCACAUUAAACGCAAACAACUCGAAAAUGUCAGCUCCUAGCCAUUUUAAAAUGUUUUUGCAAAAGAUGAUUCCAGAAGUACCUCUGUCAAACACAAUGGAAGCUGAUCACAUAAUUAGAAGGUCUAUGGCACUUUUACGACUUUGCUAUCAGGACGUGCCUACUGGAUUUGAUCUCUUGGACCAGAAA